AAAGGAAUUGACGGGGGCCCGCACAAGCGGUGGAGCAUGUGGUUUAAUUCGACGCAACGCGAAGAACCUUACCAAGGCUUGACAUCCCGCUGAAAGGUUUAGAAAUAAGCCUGGCCUUUCGGGGACAGCGGAGACAGGUGGUGCAUGGUUGUCGUCAGCUCGUGUCGUGAGAUGUUGGGUUAAGUCCCGCAACGAGCGCAACCCUUAUGCCCAGUAGCUACCGGGUAAAGCCGGGCACACUGGGGAGACUGCCGUGGAGAACACGGAGGAAGGCGGGGACGACGUCAAAUCAUCAUGCCCCUUAUGCCUUGGGCUACACACGUGCUACAAUGGCCCAAACAAAGUGAAGCGAGGCAGCGAUGCGGAGCCAAACACGAAAAGGGGCCUUAGUUCGGAUUGCAGGCUGCAACCCGCCUGCAUGAAGCUGGAAUCGCUAGUAAUCGCGGAUCAGCAUGCCGCGGUGAAUACGUUCCCGGGCCUUGUACACACCGCCCGU
This 496-nucleotide ribosomal RNA is filed under the name uncultured bacterium. RNAcentral describes it as "bacterial SSU rRNA". It matches the Rfam family "Bacterial small subunit ribosomal RNA", at positions 903 to 1397 of the family's 1533-position model. The record is from RNAcentral.